RNAcentral lists this ribosomal RNA (253 nucleotides) under uncultured bacterium. RNAcentral's name for it is "partial 16S ribosomal RNA". It matches the Rfam family "Bacterial small subunit ribosomal RNA", at positions 524 to 776 of the family's 1533-position model. The record is from RNAcentral.
UACGCAGGGGGCUAGCGUUGCUCGGAAUCACUGGGCGUAAAGCGCACGUAGGCGGCUUUCUAAGUCAGGGGUGAAAUCCUGGAGCUCAACUCCAGAACUGCCUUUGAUACUGGAGAGCUAGAGUCCGGAAGAGGUGAGUGGAACUGCGAGUGUAGAGGUGAAAUUCGUAGAUAUUCGCAAGAACACCAGUGGCGAAGGCGGCUCACUGGUCCGGUACUGACGCUGAGGUGCGAAAGCGUGGGGAGCAAACAGG